Molecule: ribosomal RNA, 636 nt
Filed under: uncultured bacterium
Lineage: Bacteria
Description: bacterial SSU rRNA
Rfam family: Bacterial small subunit ribosomal RNA
Source: RNAcentral
CCCAAUGAUAUCUCUAGAAGGCAUCUGAAAGAGAUUAAAGAUUUAUCGGUGAUGGAUGGGGAUGCGUCUGAUUAGCUUGUUGGCGGGGUAACGGCCCACCAAGGCAACGAUCAGUAGGGGUUCUGAGAGGAAGGUCCCCCACAUUGGAACUGAGACACGGUCCAAACUCCUACGGGAGGCAGCAGUGAGGAAUAUUGGUCAAUGGACGAGAGUCUGAACCAGCCAAGUAGCGUGCAGGAAGACGGCCCUAUGGGUUGUAAACUGCUUUUAUAAGGGAAUAAAGUGAGUCUCGUGAGACUUUUUGCAUGUACCUUAUGAAUAAGGACCGGCUAAUUCCGUGCCAGCAGCCGCGGUAAUACGGAAGGUCCGGGCGUUAUCCGGAUUUAUUGGGUUUAAAGGGAGCGUAGGCCGGAGAUUAAGCGUGUUGUGAAAUGUAGAUGCUCAACAUCUGAACUGCAGCGCGAACUGGUUUCCUUGAGUACGCACAAAGUGGGCGGAAUUCGUGGUGUAGCGGUGAAAUGCUUAGAUAUCACGAAGAACUCCGAUUGCGAAGGCAGCUCACUGGAGCGCAACUGACGCUGAAGCUCGAAAGUGCGGGUAUCGAACAGGAUUAGAUUCCCUGGUAGUCCGCACGGU